AACUGUUAAACGCCUAAGGU
RNAcentral lists this microRNA (20 nucleotides) under Panagrellus redivivus. RNAcentral's name for it is "prd-miR-7868-3p". Lineage: Eukaryota; Metazoa; Nematoda; Chromadorea; Rhabditida; Panagrolaimidae. The record is from miRBase by way of RNAcentral.